RNAcentral lists this ribosomal RNA (497 nucleotides) under uncultured bacterium. Its description in RNAcentral is "partial 16S ribosomal RNA". It matches the Rfam family "Bacterial small subunit ribosomal RNA", at positions 28 to 507 of the family's 1533-position model. The record is from RNAcentral.
GAUGAACGCUGGCGGCGUGCCUAAUACAUGCGAGUCGAGCGAACAGAUGAGGAGCUUGCUCCUCUGACGUUAGCGGCGGGCGGGUGAGUAACACGUGGAUAACCUACCUAUAAGACUGGGAUAACUUCGGGAAACCGGAGCUAAUACCGGAUAAUAUAUUGAACCGCAUGGUUCAAUAGUGAAAGACGGUUUUGCUGUCACUUAUAGAUGGAUCCGCGCCGCAUUAGCUAGUUGGUAAGGUAACGGCUUACCAAGGCAACGAUGCGUAGCCGACCUGAGAGGGUGAUCGGCCACACUGGAACUGAGACACGGUCCAGACUCCUACGGGAGGCAGCAGUAGGGAAUCUUCCGCAAUGGGCGAAAGCCUGACGGAGCAACGCCGCGUGAGUGAUGAAGGUCUUCGGAUCGUAAAACUCUGUUAUUAGGGAAGAACAAAUGUGUAAGUAACUAUGCACGUCUUGACGGUACCUAAUCAGAAAGCCACGGCUAACUACGUG